CUAUGACGGACGUGCAGAAAUCAAAGUCAAUGACACAUGGGGAACUAUUUGUGACCUGAACUUCAACAUUUUAGCUGCAGAUUUGUUUUGUGAUUUGCUUGGACUCAGAGCUGCUCGAUUUUUUACGGGUGCUUUAUACGGAGAAGGCAGUGGGCCAGUCUUUAUUGACCAACUCUUCUGCGAAGACUAUGACCUAGAUUUAAGUAGAUGCAAAUAUCUUUUUCUAAACGAGUGUAGUCACGAAAGAGAUGUUUCAGUCGUUUGUAACGAAUGUGGCCAACCAGACAUUUACUAUUGGGAUGCAGGAUAUUUCACGUACAAUGGAUCUACAUUGUAUGCAGAUUGCUCUUUCUAUAAAACUUAUGUUGGAACGCUGAAACUUACUUGCGACAACGACACAAGGACUUGGGUCACGGAAGGAGAAUGCCAAGAAUAUAGUUACCCUUUAAAUGUCACUGAUGUAAGAGCGGUUGGUGGUCCAAGGUCUUCCGCUGGUAGAGUUGAAAUUAAGAGUUUGGAUACAUGGGGAACUGUUUGCAGCCAUUCUUUUGGUCAAAACGAAGCAAACG
Long non-coding RNA from Mercenaria mercenaria, 569 nucleotides. RefSeq lists it as uncharacterized. The transcript is spliced from 4 exons. Lineage: Eukaryota; Metazoa; Mollusca; Bivalvia; Venerida; Veneridae. The record is from RefSeq and is a predicted model, not a curated record.